UACGGGGGGGGGCAAGCGUCGUUCGGAAUUACUGGGCGUAAAGGGCUCGUAGGCGGCCAACUAAGUCAUACGUGAAAUCCCUCGGCUUAACCGGGGAACUGCGUCUGAUACUGGAUGGCUUGAGAUUGGGAGAGGGAUGCGGAAUUCCAGGUGUAGCGGUGAAAUGCGUAGAUAUCUGGAGGAACACCGGUGGCGAAGGCGGCAUCCUGGACCAACACUGACGCUGAGGAGCGAAAGCCAGGGGAGCAAACAGG
RNAcentral lists this ribosomal RNA (254 nucleotides) under uncultured bacterium. RNAcentral describes it as "partial 16S ribosomal RNA". It matches the Rfam family "Bacterial small subunit ribosomal RNA", at positions 524 to 776 of the family's 1533-position model. The record is from RNAcentral.